RNAcentral lists this ribosomal RNA (1413 nucleotides) under Curtobacterium sp. RNAcentral's name for it is "bacterial SSU rRNA". Lineage: Bacteria; Bacillati; Actinomycetota; Actinomycetes; Micrococcales; Microbacteriaceae. The record is from RNAcentral.
GCGGSUGCUUACCAUGCAGUCGAACGAUGAUGCCCAGCUUGCUGGGUGGAUUAGUGGCGAACGGGUGAGUAACACGUGAGUAACCUGCCCCUGACUCUGGGAUAAGCGUUGGAAACGACGUCUAAUACUGGAUAUGAUCACUGGCCGCAUGGUCUGGUGGUGGAAAGAUUUUUUGGUUGGGGAUGGACUCGCGGCCUAUCAGCUUGUUGGUGAGGUAAUGGCUCACCAAGGCGACGACGGGUAGCCGGCCUGAGAGGGUGACCGGCCACACUGGGACUGAGACACGGCCCAGACUCCUACGGGAGGCAGCAGUGGGGAAUAUUGCACAAUGGGCGAAAGCCUGAUGCAGCAACGCCGCGUGAGGGAUGACGGCCUUCGGGUUGUAAACCUCUUUUAGUAGGGAAGAAGCGAAAGUGACGGUACCUGCAGAAAAAGCACCGGCUAACUACGUGCCAGCAGCCGCGGUAAUACGUAGGGUGCAAGCGUUGUCCGGAAUUAUUGGGCGUAAAGAGCUCGUAGGCGGUUUGUCGCGUCUGCUGUGAAAUCCCGAGGCUCAACCUCGGGCUUGCAGUGGGUACGGGCAGACUAGAGUGCGGUAGGGGAGAUUGGAAUUCCUGGUGUAGCGGUGGAAUGCGCAGAUAUCAGGAGGAACACCGAUGGCGAAGGCAGAUCUCUGGGCCGUAACUGACGCUGAGGAGCGAAAGCAUGGGGAGCGAACAGGAUUAGAUACCCUGGUAGUCCAUGCCGUAAACGUUGGGCGCUAGAUGUAGGGACCUUUCCACGGUUUCUGUGUCGUAGCUAACGCAUUAAGCGCCCCGCCUGGGGAGUACGGCCGCAAGGCUAAAACUCAAAGGAAUUGACGGGGGCCCGCACAAGCGGCGGAGCAUGCGGAUUAAUUCGAUGCAACGCGAAGAACCUUACCAAGGCUUGACAUACACCGGAAACGGCCAGAGAUGGUCGCCCCCUUGUGGUCGGUGUACAGGUGGUGCAUGGUUGUCGUCAGCUCGUGUCGUGAGAUGUUGGGUUAAGUCCCGCAACGAGCGCAACCCUCGUUCUAUGUUGCCAGCGGGUUAUGCCGGGGACUCAUAGGAGACUGCCGGGGUCAACUCGGAGGAAGGUGGGGAUGACGUCAAAUCAUCAUGCCCCUUAUGUCUUGGGCUUCACGCAUGCUACAAUGGCCGGUACAAAGGGCUGCGAUACCGUAAGGUGGAGCGAAUCCCAAAAAGCCGGUCUCAGUUCGGAUUGAGGUCUGCAACUCGACCUCAUGAAGUCGGAGUCGCUAGUAAUCGCAGAUCAGCAACGCUGCGGUGAAUACGUUCCCGGGCCUUGUACACACCGCCCGUCAAGUCAUGAAAGUCGGUAACACCCGAAGCCGGUGGCCUAACCCUYGUGGAAGGAGCCGUCGAAGNUGAU